Molecule: ribosomal RNA, 270 nt
Filed under: uncultured bacterium
Lineage: Bacteria
Description: partial 16S ribosomal RNA
Rfam family: Bacterial small subunit ribosomal RNA
Source: RNAcentral
UACGUAGGCAGCAAGCGUUGUUCGGAAUUACUGGGCGUAAAGAGUGCGUAGGCGGUUAACUAAGUUUGGUGUGAAAUCUCCCGGCUCAACUGGGAGGGUGCGCCGAAAACUGGCUAGCUAGAGUGCGGGAGAGGAUAGUGGAAUUCCUGUGUAGCGGUGAAAUGCGUAGAUAUGCGGAGGAACACCAGCGGCGAAGGCGGCUUUCUGGACCAAUACUGACGCUGAGACGCGAAAGCGUGGGGAGCAAACAGGAUUAGAAACCCGGGUAGU